RNAcentral lists this ribosomal RNA (1905 nucleotides) under human gut metagenome. RNAcentral describes it as "bacterial LSU rRNA". It matches the Rfam family "Bacterial large subunit ribosomal RNA", at positions 1 to 1985 of the family's 2925-position model. The record is from RNAcentral. RNAcentral also lists the same sequence under 1 other name.
UGAAGUAAGUAAGGGCGUACGGUGAAUGCCUUGGUGCCAACAGGCGAAGAAGGACGCGGCAAGCUGCGAAAAGCCUCGGGAAGCUGCAAGCAAGCGAUGAUCCGGGGAUAUCCGAAUGGGGUAACCUGAUCGAGGCAAUACUCGAUCGUUCAUACCUGAAUACAUAGGGUAUGAAACGCGAAACCCGCUGAAGUGAAACAUCUCAGUAAGCGGAGGAAAAGAAAGAGAAAUCGAUUCCGUAAGUAGUGGCGAGCGAAAGCGGAUGGAGCCCAAACCGAAGGUAUUCCUUCGGGGUUGUAGGACCACGUCAUAUUCGACCAUACUGGAUAGUAGAACAGCCUGGAAAGGCUGGCCGGAGAAGGUGAAAGCCCUGUAGACGAAAUCCAGAGUGGGAAUUAGUGGUAUCCUGAGUAAUACAUCACACGUGGAACGAUGUAUGAACCCGCGCGGACCACCGCGCAAGGCUAAAUACUAGUUGGCGACCGAUAGUGAACAAGUACCGCGAGGGAAAGGUGAAAAGAACCGCUGUGAGCGGAGUGAAAUAGAACCUGAAACCGUAUGUCUACAAAGUGUCAGAGCAGAGCAAUCUGCGAUGGCGUGCCUUUUGUUUAAUGAGUCUGCGAGUCAGUGUUUGUGGCAAGACUAAGGGCUUCCGGCCCGGAGUCGCAGCGAAAGCAAGUCCGAACAGGGCGCAAUAAGUCGCAGGUACUGGACCCGAAGCGGAGGUGACCUACCCUUGGCCAGGUUGAAGCAUGGGUAAAACCAUGUGGAGGACCGAACAGGUGAACGUUGAAAAGUUCUCUGAUGAGCUGAGGGUAGGAGUGAAAGGCUAAUCAAACCCCGUGAUAGCUGGUUCUCUUCGAAAUGCAUUUAGGUGCAGCGUCACGUGCUGAUGCGCGGGGGUAGAGCACUGACAAGGCUAGGGGGCACACCCGCUUACCAAACCUUAUCAAACUCCGAAUACCGUGCAAUGGAACGUGGCAGUGAGACAGUGGGGGAUAAGCUUCAUUGUCGAGAGGGAAACAACCCAGAUCAGCAGCUAAGGUGCCUAAAUAACGCUCAGUGGAAAGGAUGUGGGAUUACACAGACAGUGAGGAUGUUGGCUUAGAAGCAGCCACCAUUUAAAAAAUGCGUAAUAGCUUACUCAUCGAGUGAUCCUGCGCCGAAAAUGAUUGGCGAUCAAGCGUUAUACCGAAGCUCUGGACUUUGCCGCAAGGCAGAGUGGUAGAAGAGCGUUGCAUGCGCGUCGAAGGGCGAUGGCGACUGACCCUGGAGCACAUGCAAGUGAGUAUGCAGACAUGAGUAACGUUAAGCCGGGUGAAAUCCCCGGCCGCCGUAAACCCGAGGUUUCCAGGGCAACGUGUUUCGUCCCUGGGUUAGCCGGGACCUAAGCCGAGGCCGAGAGGCGUAGGCGAUGGACAUCAGGUUAAUAAUCCUGAGCUCGCAACCCUUAAACUGGGGGGACGCAUGAGAAAAGAUGACUAGGUUAUUGAAUUCCGAGUUGAGUCCACGGACUCAGCGCAUCAUUGGAUCGAGUGCCAAGAAAAGCCCCAGCGUAUGCUAAGCGACCCGUACCGCAAACCGACACAGGUGGGUGGGUAGAAUAUACCAAGGCGUAAGAGUGAAACCUGGUUAAGGAACUCGGCAAAUUAGCCCCGUAACUUCGGAAGAAGGGGUGCCUGCAGCGAUGCAGGCCGCAGAGAAAUGGCCCAACCGACUGUUUAUCAAAAACACAGCACUCUGCAAAGACGCAAGUCGAAGUAUAGGGUGUGACACGUGACCAAUGCCGAAAGAUUAAGGCAAGGGGUUAGCCGCAAGGCGAAGCUCUAAACCCAAGUCCCGGUGAAUGUCGGCCGUAACUAUAACGGUCCUAAGGUAGCGAAAUUCCUUGUCGGGUAAGUUCCG